CCCAGCCUCCGGCCCUCCCUCUGUCGCACUGUGUGUGGCCUUAGGACAGCACUCAGCCCCUCUGAGGAUCUCCUGGGUACUGAGAGGCCAACACCGGGAGGAAGACGAGUUCACAGGGAGGCCUGGGGGACCCCUGGUCAGCUGGCUGCAGCUGCCUCGGGAGGCUGCAGGGACGACCGUGAGCUGCCAAGGCCUGCACCAGAGCGGGACCAUCGAGGCUGCACUGUACUUGCCUGGCGGCCCAGGGUGCAAAGCGCUGGACCUGAACUGGAAUGAGACUCAUGAGAGCAGUGGAGACAUCCCUCUUGCAGAGCUGGAGCACACGCUGGCUGCCGUCACCUACUGCUACCUGGGGCUGCUGGGUGCCACUCCCCUUUAUGGCCUGAUCCUGGUGGUUCUCUGGAGGAAUCGCUGCUGCCUGGGCCACCUGCAGGUGUCUCCCACCCAGGAGGCUCAAGCAGUCCCUGGGGAUUCCAGGCCUCAGGAAGGCAGGG
This 494-nucleotide long non-coding RNA is filed under the name Urocitellus parryii (Arctic ground squirrel). Its description in RNAcentral is "lncRNA (ENSUPAG00010015207.1)". The record is from RNAcentral. Lineage: Eukaryota; Metazoa; Chordata; Mammalia; Rodentia; Sciuridae.